UAGAGGACAUCACUACUUCAC
This 21-nucleotide non-coding RNA is filed under the name Arabidopsis thaliana (thale cress). The record is from RNAcentral. Lineage: Eukaryota; Viridiplantae; Streptophyta; Magnoliopsida; Brassicales; Brassicaceae.